This 513-nucleotide ribosomal RNA is filed under the name Triticum aestivum (bread wheat). Its description in RNAcentral is "partial small subunit ribosomal RNA". The record is from RNAcentral. Lineage: Eukaryota; Viridiplantae; Streptophyta; Magnoliopsida; Poales; Poaceae.
AUGGGAGAGAAAGUGCACUGGCCGUCUCAUAAACACAUCAAUGUUUACACAAAGGAUUUGAUAAGGCAGAUGAGGGAAAACAAUGUGAACCUGGGGAAGGUGUACAACAUAAUUGGUAGUAGCUUCUUUGGGUCUGUUGAGAAGGUACCGUUCACAAAAAGAACUCUCGGGAAUAUAUGUGGGAAGUUUAGCCGUGAACAAGCCGAGGACGAUGUGCUGAAGACGCUUGAGGUGUUUGCUGACAUCCAUUCCAGCAACCCUGGUUUCACCUAUGUGCUACUGGCCGGCAAGUCGAGCAAGGUGAAAAAUCAUAUGUGGGCUAACGGAAGCAGCCGAAUGCAGUACAUGUUCUUUGGCGAUGUGAUAAAAUUUGACACUACAUACAGGAGAAACUUGUAUGACAUGCCAUUUGGGUCAUUUGUGGGAGUUAACAAUCACUAUCAAAGCAUUAUCCUAGCAGGGGUGUUGAUGUGUGAUGAGCAAGAAGAGAGCUUCGAAUGGGUGUUUGCAUAA